AUUCGGAUGAUGAGUCUCAAAUAGGACGAAAUACGCAUCCUGAAU
Molecule: non-coding RNA, 45 nt
Filed under: Trichobilharzia regenti
Lineage: Eukaryota; Metazoa; Platyhelminthes; Trematoda; Strigeidida; Schistosomatidae
Source: RNAcentral